UACGGAGGGUGCAAGCGUUAUCCGGAUUCACUGGGUUUAAAGGGUCCGUAGGCGGUUUGGUAAGUCAGUGGUGAAAGCCCAUCGCUCAACGGUGGAACGGCCAUUGAUACUGCCAGACUUGAAUUAUUAGGAAGUAACUAGAAUAUGUAGUGUAGCGGUGAAAUGCUUAGAGAUUACAUGGAAUACCAAUUGCGAAGGCAGGUUACUACUAAUGGAUUGACGCUGAUGGACGAAAGCGUGGGUAGCGAACAGG
RNAcentral lists this ribosomal RNA (253 nucleotides) under uncultured bacterium. RNAcentral's name for it is "partial 16S ribosomal RNA". It matches the Rfam family "Bacterial small subunit ribosomal RNA", at positions 524 to 776 of the family's 1533-position model. The record is from RNAcentral.